GAUGAACGCUGGCGGCGUGCUUAACACAUGCAAGUCGAACGGAAAGGCCCAAGCUUGCUUGGGUACUCGAGUGGCGAACGGGUGAGUAACACGUGGGUGAUCUGCCCUGCACUUCGGGAUAAGCCUGGGAAACUGGGUCUAAUACCGGAUAGGACCACUUCUUGGAUGUUGUGGUGGAAAGUUUUUUCGGUGUGGGAUGAGCUCGCGGCCUAUCAGCUUGUUGGUGGGGUAAUGGCCUACCAAGGCGUCGACGGGUAGCCGGCCUGAGAGGGUGUACGGCCACAUUGGGACUGAGGUACGGCCCAGACUCCUACGGGAGGCAGCAGUGGGGAAUAUUGCACAAUGGGCGCAAGCCGGAUGCAGCGACGCCGCGUGGGGGAUGACGGCCUUCGGGUUGUAAACUCCUUUCGCUAGGGACGAAGCGUUUUGUGACGGUACCUGGAGAAGAAGCACCGGCUAACUACGUG
RNAcentral lists this ribosomal RNA (467 nucleotides) under uncultured bacterium. RNAcentral's name for it is "partial 16S ribosomal RNA". It matches the Rfam family "Bacterial small subunit ribosomal RNA", at positions 28 to 507 of the family's 1533-position model. The record is from RNAcentral.